RNAcentral lists this long non-coding RNA (2704 nucleotides) under Homo sapiens (human). RNAcentral describes it as "uncharacterized LOC101929258, transcript variant 3 (LOC101929258)". The record is from RNAcentral. Lineage: Eukaryota; Metazoa; Chordata; Mammalia; Primates; Hominidae.
GCCACCCGGCUGGGAGCGGAGAGAGACUGACGGCGGAGGCGGGGGUCAGGGCGCGGACCCGGACCCCAGCCCCAUGGGGGACAGAGUCCAAAAAAACCGGCCGGGUGGAGGAUGCAGCCGGGCGUGGUGGCUACAAGGAAGUGCCCUGGUGUUAAGAACUCAGCCUCUGAAACCCGCCGCCCAGCUUCGAGUCAGCGACGUACUUUUGUUGUCCCGGCCUUAGUAUCCCCGCUGCAAUAAGAGUGUAAGCUCCUAAAGGCAGAAAUCAAGCUGACCUAAGCAAAGACCUGAAGGAGCUAUGAGGACAUCUGGCAGAAGAGGCAAGAGGCUGGCCAGCGGCUAUAAACAAGUUAAGGGACUCCUCUGAGCCUCAACAUCCCAUCCCUGGAAUGGAGAGAAGGACGUCUGCCCUGCUUAUCUCAAAAGGACAUCGAUGAGAUCAUAGAAGCCCAAGCUGAGGUUACAUCUGAUGCUAAAAACUAGACGAGAAAGGGUCUGUCUGACCCUCAAGGUCAGCAAUGUGUGUGCAACUCCCCUCUCGGGGUCUGGGGACGCAGCCAUGUGUUCCAUCGCACACCAGGCUUUGGGGAUAUUGUAGGGCUCAGACCGCCGACUGCUAGUUUAUUAAAAGAGCAGCUGCCAUCCCGCCGCGCAGUGGGACAGAGAGCUGCAGCCCGGCGCAGGCUCGACCCCGCAGGGAACCGCGACCCGGGGAUAGGCAGCUCUGGACUGCACUGAUCUGGGACUCUGUCGGCUCUACAGACACACACACGCGCGCGCACACACACACACAUGCACACACGCACGCACACACACACGCACGCACAGCCGCUAGGCCUAGAGUUUAUUUUUCCAGGGGCUGGUGGGGACUCCGCUCCCGCGGCGGGCGGCGGCACUGGAAUGUUAAUUGAAACGGAGCUGGCGAGCGCGGCGCAGAUAAGCGUCGCCCAGCAGCGUCCCCGCCUGCGGCUCCCCGAAUCAGCGAUCCGGGAAGGCCCCGCCGCCUCUCUGGCCGCUGAGGGUUUUCUUUUCCACGCUGAAGGAGUGGAACGCGCGCGGAGGCAGCUCGGCGCCCGCAAACCCCCGGAGUCAGCCCCCGACGGUCUGUCCCAGAACUAAACGGUCUCCGCCACCCAAAGCCGAGAAGCUAAGAGGCCGGCUGGGGGAGGGUGACACGGAGAAAUGGAGAAGCCCACCCAGCGGUUACAUACCGGCAGAUUUUUAUUUCCUUUAACUGGUUGGUUCUUCUAAACAUUUAAUGCAAGAAAUCUCUCGGCCCGCUUCACUUUACUCUCCACCCAUGCUCUUCCCCUAACCCUGAGAAUUUUGCACAGAUUUUCGGGGUUCGCGCGGAGCGCCUCUGAAAGUGAUGGCGGACAAACCGUCAAAAAGGCCUCAGCAUAGCAAUUUAGGAAAAGAUCGUAUCAGAUCCUUAAUUCACACCAUACACUCUAAUACACUCGAAAGUAAGCAAAGAAAUUAUAACAAAUACCAGAAUAAAAUAUGGGUGAAUUCCUUUUUAACCUCAGUGUAGGAAAAGAAAGGUCUUCUCACCAUGACUCAAAUCAAGAAGCAAGUAAACAUAACACAAAUGAUUACAUUUUAUAAAAUGCAUGGUAAGAAAUCACUAUAAAAGAAGUCAAAAGACAAUUGUCAAACAGGAAGAAAAUAUUUGCAACAUAUAGCACACAUAACCAAAGUAACUGAUAUUGAGAAAACUUAAAAAUUGAAAUUGGGAGAUGGAUACAAUUUGCGUUUGUGUAUGUAUGUGUAUAUAUUUAUGUGUUUUUAAUUGUUAUGUAUAUUAUACAUGUAUAUGUAUAGAUACAUACACAUAUGUAUAUAUCCCUUAAACAUAUAAAAGGAUGUUGCACCUCACUUGUAAUUAGAGAAAUGCAAAUUAAAAACAACACUGAGAUACUGUUUCUCACCUAUCAAAUUUGUAAGAAUUAAGAGGCAUGAUCAUGCAUUCCGUUGCCCGGGCUAGCUGGGAAGCAGGCACUCCCAUACAGUACUGGUGGAAUGCAAACCUGUAGAACCUUUCUGGAGAGGAGAACUCCUAAAAAUACUAUAUGUGCAUUUAUGUUUCACCUAUGGUCCCAUUUCUUAGAAAUUUGUCUUUCGACAAAUUCAAUUGACAAUUGUCUUUUGACUCUGAAGACAUGCCUCCAACAAUAUAAAAACACAUACAAACUUAUUAUUGUAAAGUACUGGAAAACUCUAAAUACUCAUUCACAGAACAGUGGUUGAAUAAACUUUGGUACAUUCGUGCAAUGGAGUACUAGGCAACUAUAGAAAACAAUAAGGAAGACCUCUUUGGACCAAUAUGAUGUGACUGCUGAAUAUAUUGUUAAGUGAAAAAAAGGUAACGGCAAAAGAGUAUCUUCAAGAAUCAAUGAGAGCUGGGAACAGCUCAUGUUCUGGGGAGGAGGCUGUGCCGGCCAUGGGGCUUUGGGUGUGUGAUUGACUGCAGGUGUGCUUGCCUUGUGGCAGCAGAAAAAGGAUGCACCAGUGAUCAACCCGUCUCUUAAAUAUGGUAAUCAGAUCAACAUCAUAGAUUUUAAUGAUAAAAGUAUCAUUAUAAAUGAAAACGUUAUCCAUCAAGUGGAUGAAAUUAGGCACAUUAAUGCCAGUCCGGCAGACAAAGGUGAGCUGGUGACAUUCUACAAUAAAAGUUAUUGUGUCUUCUCCUGACUGGACUGGA